AGAGAGAGACAUGCGCGCAUAUCAAUAAGCGGGGAAAAGAAACUAACUAGGAUUCCCUCAGUAACGGCGAGUGAAGCGGGAAGAGCUCAAAUUUGAAAUCUUCAAGGUUCUACCUUGACGAAUUGUAGUUUAAAGAAGUGUUUUCUGUUGGAGUUUUGGUAAAAGUUCUUUGGAAUAGGACAUCGAUAGAGGGUGAGAAUCCCGUAUUUGACCAUUACUUUCCACUUUGUGAUACACUUUCAAAGAGUCGGAUUGUUUGGGAAUGCAGUCCAAAAUGGGUGGUAAAUUUCAUCUAAAGCUAAAUAUUGGCGAGAGACCGAUAGCGAACAAGUACCGUGAGGGAAAGAUGAAAAGAACUUUGAAAAGAGAGUUAAACAGUACGUGAAAUUGUCAAAAGGGAAGCGUUUGACAUCAGUGUUGUUUUCUCGAAAAUCAAUUAAAAAAGGCAGGAUUUUGUGUUGUAUUGACUUUAUCAGCUUUCUGCACUCUUUUCUUGUCUUUUUUAAUGCACUUUUCGUUUAACAAGUCAACAUCAAUUUCUUUUGUUGUAAAAGGGUCAUUGGAAGGUGGCUUUCUUUUCGGAGAAAGUGUUUAUAGCCUUUGGCCUCUGCAAUCGGAGAGAUUGAGGUCUGCAGCGUAGAUCCUUCGGGGUUAGAUACAUUUGUGCUAAGUUAUAGCCUUUCAUAGACAACUUGUUGACUAUGAUCAGUCAUGUAGCUUACUCGCUUAUGCUAUUUUACCUACGCUUAGGAUGUUGAUGUGAUACUGCGAGCA
This 774-nucleotide ribosomal RNA is filed under the name uncultured Neocallimastigales. RNAcentral describes it as "partial large subunit ribosomal RNA". It matches the Rfam family "Eukaryotic large subunit ribosomal RNA", at positions 1 to 644 of the family's 3401-position model. Lineage: Eukaryota; Fungi; Neocallimastigomycota; Neocallimastigomycetes; Neocallimastigales. The record is from RNAcentral.